UAUGCGUCCUUGCCCAGCCCGCUCAGUCAGAGUUUGAUCCUGGCUCAGGACGAACGCUGGCGGCGUGCUUAACACAUGCAAGUCGUACGGUAAGGCCCUUUCGGGGGUACACGAGUGGCGAACGGGUGAGUAACACGUGAGUAACCUGCCCACAACUUUGGGAUAACGCUAGGAAACUGGUGCUAAUACUGGAUAUGUGCUCCUGCUGCAUGGUGGGGGUUGGAAAGCUCCGGCGGUUGUGGAUGGACUCGCGGCCUAUCAGCUUGUUAGUGGUAGUGGCCUACCAAGGCGGCGACGGGUAGCCGGCCUGAGAGGGUGACCGGCCACAUUGGGACUGAGAUACGGCCCAG
RNAcentral lists this ribosomal RNA (350 nucleotides) under uncultured bacterium. Its description in RNAcentral is "bacterial SSU rRNA". It matches the Rfam family "Bacterial small subunit ribosomal RNA", at positions 1 to 334 of the family's 1533-position model. The record is from RNAcentral.